AUACGGAGGAUCCGAGCGUUAUCCGGAUUUAUUGGGUUUAAAGGGUGCGCAGGCGGCCAUUUAAGUCAGCGGUUAAAUCGUGGGGCUCAACCCCAUUCUGCCGUUGAUACUGGGUGGCUUGAUUGCGGUCGAGGUUGGCGGAAUUCGUUGUGUAGCGGUGAAAUGCAUAGAUAUGACGAAGAACACCGAUUGCGUAGGCAGCCGACCAGACCGCAAAUGACGCUCAUGCACGAAAGUGCGGGGAUCGAACAGGAUUAGAUACCCUGGUAGUCCGCACAGUAAACGAUGAAUACUUGUUUUCGGCGAUAUAAUGUCGGAGGCAAAGCGAAAGCGAUAAGUAUUCCACCUGGGGAGUACGCCGGCAACGGUGAAACUCAAAUGAAUUGACGGGG
RNAcentral lists this ribosomal RNA (392 nucleotides) under uncultured bacterium. RNAcentral describes it as "partial 16S ribosomal RNA". It matches the Rfam family "Bacterial small subunit ribosomal RNA", at positions 523 to 918 of the family's 1533-position model. The record is from RNAcentral.